UCACGAACCACACGGCGUUGCGGUACCAGGACAUGGCGGUGCUGCCGCUGCCGCCGUCGCCACAGCCGGGCUGGCCCCGCCUCUGCCCUUACAUAAGGCGCCCGGCCCGGCCCUGCCCGCCCGCCGUUAGCAUCUGUGGGACUUCCAUGUACUCAAGCAAUGAACAGGAACCUCAAGAAGCAUAAGCCAAGAAGCAACAAUUUCAAAUUGCAGUCCUGAAGUAACAAUCUUUUCUAUAUUAUAUGGAGAACAUACAUUGGUCUUCAUUGUUAUGCAAAGUCCCUAUCAACCAGAAUCUGGGGAAGAUGAAUAAUCAGAGGUGCCCCUGCUCCACACCUGCAUGAUUCCAGCCUGCUGAAGGAGGCAGUAGUGAAAGUGUGGAAGGUCUGCUCAGAUCUCUCUGGAUACACAAUUGAUGGCUCCAACAAUUUUGGAGGUGUUGAUGUUCACGCUUCCAUGUGCCAUAGCUUAUGGAUGUACACAAGUACAGCAUGGUACUGAAACACUAGCACUGUGAUUUGGCAGCGCUUUCCCAAGAUGUCAAUGAAGGCACCGGGUUCUCAUCCCUAAAGAAUUAAGCCUCCAAGGUGGACUGCAGAGAAUCAGUCAGCCUUAGCCUCCUGGGAAUGGGACAUAGGCCUCAGGCUUACCAUUGUGUGGCUGAAGUUUGAUAAAUCCUUGCACAUCUGCUGAGCUGCUGUAACUGUGCUCACACAUACACACAGAAAACACGAGGCAAUGUGACUUCACUUACAGCUCUUCUCCUCCGGGCUGAGCUAAAAUCACCCCGUAUUUGCUCAGAUAGGAGCGCACACUUCAUCACUUGCUGCAAGGUCACUGGACGCACAGCAACAUGGGACUCAAUUCAGACUUAAAAUUCAGAGUAUGAGCCCUUAAUUCUAUGUCAUCAAGAAUGAUUCUAGCAGCAUUUUGGAAGAAGAGGGAAGUUUGUACUGGAAUUCUAUGGGUGAA
Molecule: long non-coding RNA, 972 nt
Organism: Calidris pugnax (ruff)
Lineage: Eukaryota; Metazoa; Chordata; Aves; Charadriiformes; Scolopacidae
Exons: 4
Source: RefSeq, a predicted model, not a curated record